Protopterus annectens (West African lungfish) is the source of this 124-nucleotide small nucleolar RNA. RefSeq annotates it as small nucleolar RNA SNORA65. The transcript has a single exon. The record is from RefSeq and is a predicted model, not a curated record. NCBI's taxonomy places the organism in Eukaryota, Metazoa, Chordata, Ceratodontiformes, Protopteridae.
CCUGCCACUAUACCUGACUCUUGUAUCUGGUAUAUUCCAGUGGUGCGCUAAGAUUAAAUUCCUGUCUAGGAAGCAAGGUAGUUCUGUGCAUGAAUUACUUUGUGCCGAAAGGCAGGAGACAAGU